UAUGUGAUCGUCUCUCGCAUAUCAAUAAGCGGAGGAAAAGAAACUAACAAGGAUUCCCCUAGUAACGGCGAGUGAAGCGGGAAGAGCUCAAAUUUGAAAUCUUAAAGGGUUUCCCUUUACGAAUUGUAGUUUAAAGAAGUGUUUUCUGUUGAGGUUUUGGUAAAAGUUCUUUGGAAUAGGACAUCAUAGAGGGUGAGAAUCCCGUAUUUGACCUUUACUUUCAACUUUGUGAUACACUUUCAAAGAGUCGGAUUGUUUGGGAAUGCAGUCCAAAAUGGGUGGUAAAUUUCAUCUAAAGCUAAAUAUUGGCGAGAGACCGAUAGCGAACAAGUACCGUGAGGGAAAGAUGAAAAGAACUUUGAAAAGAGAGUUAAACAGUACGUGAAAUUGUCAAAAGGGAAGCGUUUGACACCAGUGUUGUUUUUCUGAAAAUCAAUUAAAGAACUGUUUAUGCUAAGUUGUUUAGACUUUAUCAGCUAUCUGCUUAGUUUUGAGCUUUUCUUUAAUGCACUUUUCAGUUAACAAGUCAACAUCAAUUUCUUUUGCUGUAAAAAAGCUUGAGGAAGGUGGCUUGAGAUUCGUCUUAAGUGUUUAUAGCCUCUUGCCUAUGCAGUCGGAGAGAUUGAGGUCUGCAGGCGUAGAUCCUUCGGGGCUAAAUGCAUUUGUGCUAAGUUAUAGCCUUUUAUAGACAACUUGUUGACUAUGAUUUGUCUUGUAGCUUACUCGCUUAUGUUAUUUUACCUACGCUUAGGAUGUUGAAGAUAUGCGCGACACG
Molecule: ribosomal RNA, 775 nt
Filed under: uncultured Neocallimastigales
Lineage: Eukaryota; Fungi; Neocallimastigomycota; Neocallimastigomycetes; Neocallimastigales
Description: partial large subunit ribosomal RNA
Rfam family: Eukaryotic large subunit ribosomal RNA
Source: RNAcentral